CGGACGGGUGAGUAACGCGUGAGAAUCUGCCCUUAGGACGGGGACAACAGCUGGAAACGGCUGCUAAUACCCGAUGUGCCGAGAGGUGAAACAUUUUAUGGCCUGAGGAUGAGCUCGCGUCUGAUUAGCUAGUUGGUGGGGUAAGGGCCUACCAAGGCGACGAUCAGUAGCUGGUCUGAGAGGAUGAUCAGCCACACUGGGACUGAGACACGGCCCAGACUCCUACGGGAGGCAGCAGUGGGGAAUUUUCCGCAAUGGGCGCAAGCCUGACGGAGCAAGACCGCGUGCGGGAGGACGGCCUAUUGGUUGUAAACCGCUUUUGAUAGGGAAGAAGUUCUGACGGUACCUAUCGAAUCAGCAUCGGCUAACUCCGUGCCAGCAGCCGCGGUAAUACGGAGGAUGCAAGCGUUAUCCGGAAUUAUUGGGCGUAAAGCGUCCGUAGGUGGUUGUUCAAGUCUGCUGUUAAAGCGUGCGGCUUAACCGCAUACCAGCAGUGGAAACUGGGCGGCUAGAGUGCGGUAGGGGUCAGGGGAAUUCCCAGUGUAGCGGUGAAAUGCGUAGAUAUUGGGAAGAACACCGGUGGCGAAAGCGCCUGACUGGACCUGCACUGACACUGAGGGACGAAAGCUAGGGGAGCGAAAGGGAUUAGAUACCCCUGUAGUC
This 663-nucleotide ribosomal RNA is filed under the name uncultured cyanobacterium. RNAcentral describes it as "bacterial SSU rRNA". It matches the Rfam family "Bacterial small subunit ribosomal RNA", at positions 99 to 795 of the family's 1533-position model. Lineage: Bacteria; Bacillati; Cyanobacteriota. The record is from RNAcentral.